AUGUGAAACGAAAUAAAUGACAAGUUUUAAAAGUUUAAGGGGUUAAAAGGAAAAUGUGUUAAAUAAAACACUUUACAAAAAAAUAAUGUCAGUAUCUUGGGGGGGUUCUAUGCGUGCGAUCGAGAACAGGGCCAAGAGAAGAGCCAAAAACCCUAACAACCAAAAAUCAUCAAAUUGAUAAGGAGAUCAAGGGAAAAAUCGAAUGCAUGGGAACAUGUCAAGGAGAGCUCAAGCAUAGGAGGAUAACGGGUCAAGAUAAGGCAAGGUUAUGAAUGUCGGACUUUCAAAGUGUUGAUAUAAUAAUGAAACGGUUGAAUCUUGAAAGGAUAAUCGGAUUGAAGUAACUUAUGCGGUAAAUCCUCAAUUCAGGCGACUUGGAGAAUCGGAGCAAGCGCGUGUUCAUGUUAUGUCAUACCAAACGCUUCCGCUAGUUUGUCCAAAUGUUUUUGGUCCAAAAUUUGUUGCAACGGUUUUUAGUAGUAUUUUGUUGAACGAAUCGUAGAAUUGUAUCUAGUUUGAUUAUGAUUAAAACAGGGGUAUGCCCGUUUUACGGACGGGUCAUGCCCAAAUUUUGUUAAAAUUAAUGCAUAUGCUAUUGAUAUCAUCGUUUUA
This 612-nucleotide long non-coding RNA is filed under the name Helianthus annuus (common sunflower). Lineage: Eukaryota; Viridiplantae; Streptophyta; Magnoliopsida; Asterales; Asteraceae. The record is from RNAcentral.